This 309-nucleotide unclassified non-coding RNA is filed under the name plant metagenome. Its description in RNAcentral is "partial contains small subunit ribosomal RNA and internal transcribed spacer 1". The stretch from base 1 to 47 matches the Rfam family "Eukaryotic small subunit ribosomal RNA", at positions 1785 to 1831 of the family's 1831-position model. The record is from RNAcentral.
AAGGUCGUAACAAGGUUUCCGUAGGUGAACCUGCGGAAGGAUCAUUACACAUUUCAAAAAGCCGGUGCGGGACGACGCCUCCUGUUCCUGGUUGGGCGAAUCCAACCCCCAUCGGGUGUCCACUCUAGCGUAAAGCAGAGGCGAGGCGGGUUCGUUUUCGACCAGGACCCGAGGCCGGUUCCCUGCACGACUUUCCAUCCUUAUUAUACCUGCACCUUCUAUUCUCCUUCGGUGGGGCAACCUGCCGUCGGAACCGUCAAACCCUUUGCAUCUAGUAUUACCCGUUCUGAUACAAUUUAAUUAUUACAA